Molecule: long non-coding RNA, 1125 nt
Filed under: Homo sapiens (human)
Lineage: Eukaryota; Metazoa; Chordata; Mammalia; Primates; Hominidae
Description: HSALNT0407304
Source: RNAcentral
CGUGAUUCUGAGGCUUCCCCAGCCACGUGGAACUCAUGAAAACGGAAGAAUACAAGUGGAAAGGAGAAUGGAAUUGCAGCAAAAGGGAGUAACCAUGCUGAGUUGGGACCUAUUAAAUCAAUAGGUUCCACUUCCCACAACACCUCUGCCACCAACCAAUUGAGGGUCUUCAGGAGAAGUGUUCUUAUCUGUGCAAUAGAGCCUGCCAGAAGGGGCACCUGGCAACCCUCUUCAGAGGCUUGAUCCUGUGCUGCAGAAACCUAUGGACCUGCUCAACCUGUGCACUGGAAUUCCAGGGAUAGACUGAGCUGUCCCUAGGAGGCUGGGAGCAUUCUCCAGCAGAGACCAGCAACUGCCUCCUGCCUGGAGAAUCUGGAAGGAGGAAGGGCGGCUGGAAUCACCUGUGAUGGCAAGUGAGGGAGAGAGGGCAGACAAAGGUAGCAAAACUGCACUCCUAGGACUUGGAAUGGCAAGGACUCCAGUGUGUCAGAGAAGACAGGAAGACCAAGAAACAGCCAAGGAGAGGGGCUGAGGAAUGAGAGAUGGAGGAGACAACAGAUUGUCCUUCCCAUUGCCAAACCUUAGGCCGGGCCUGAGGGGAUCAGACUGGGCAAUUGAAUCCUCAAAGGUUCCUGGAAGGACUACUUAGGAAUUGAAUGUGCUGAGACUUCCUCUCAAAGGAGCCCCUCCUUCUUAAAUGAAUCCAGGAGAGAAGUUCUGAAGACUGUGGUCUAUGCUAAAGGAAUGCAGAUAUUUAUAAAUGGUCAUCUGCAUUGAAUGAACCAAGUCCAAAUGACAAUCAAGGAGAACUGUAAACAUAGGAAAAGAGGGCUGAACCCAUGCUUCCAGGGAAGGAAGAAGAGAGAGAGAAAGAGAAGAGAAGAGAGAGAGAGAGAGACUGACUUCUGGAAUCAAUCAAGGGAAGUCUGGAAAUGGUGGAUGAAUGGAACAGAAAUCCCCAAGCCAAGUGUGAACAGGACUCAGACUUGUGUACACAUGGAGAAUAGCGUCUGGCGCCAAGAACGCAGAGCGGCUGAGAACUGGUGUUUCUCCUCUUAGGAAAGAAAAUGACAGGGAAAGGAAGAAAAAUAGGAAAGAAGAAAGGAAGAGAGAGAAGAAGGAAAA